Molecule: ribosomal RNA, 263 nt
Filed under: uncultured bacterium
Lineage: Bacteria
Description: partial 16S ribosomal RNA
Rfam family: Bacterial small subunit ribosomal RNA
Source: RNAcentral
GUCCACGCUGUAAACGAUGAUUACUAGGUGUGGGGGACUGACCCCUUCCGUGCCGCAGUUAACACAAUAAGUAAUCCACCUGGGGAGUACGACCGCAAGGUUGAAACUCAAAGGAAUUGACGGGGGCCCGCACAAGCAGUGGAGUAUGUGGUUUAAUUCGAAGCAACGCGAAGAACCUUACCAGGUCUUGACAUCGUAUGCAUAGUCUAGAGAUAGAUGAAAUCCCUUCGGGGACAUAUAGACAGGUGGUGCAUGGUUGUCGU